UGUUCGGGAAAGUCGUUCCUUGGUAGUCAGAUGCCAAAAUUCAGGCCGGUCUACAGGCCUGUUUGUCAUAAGUAUGCAGUUCGAUAUGAGACGGUUCCGUGAUUUCCAGGGAUGAGGUGUAUUCCCACGACUGGGGAACACCGAUAGUCGUUGUUUCAAAAUGAACAUAGGUCGAUAAUCUGGUUUCUGGCAUAAUACUGGUUUUAGGACCACUCAAGGUAUGCGAUGAUGUACAGAUUUUGGUAACUACCGUACGACCCAGGUCUGGUGACUGGGGGUGGGGGUGGGGGUUCAGGGCACAGCAGAAGAGGGAAGAAACCACAGCAGGAAAAAGCAUGUGCGUUUGGCACGGACACCUCUCGAGGUCGCUUCCUAGAUCCCCUUACCCGCUUCCCUGGAGGCGGUCCCUCCUCCACAGGCUGACCCCCGGUGGCCGCGUUUGUGAUGUGUUACUCUUCUAACAGGUGUUUUUUGUCAGAGUUGAUUGUGCCUAAGGAAGACAUUUGACCCAAGCCGUGUUUAAAGGAUGCUGUCUCCCACGAACUGAAAUGGAUGGGGAGGGUUAGACAUACAGGGUGGAAGUCACAGGAGCCGAAGUCAGACUAAAGGGAAUUCUGUGACCAGACGGUCCACGGAGUCCCACUGCUGAGACCCCUGGAAAUGAUCUGGUCUUUCCCCGUCUCACUUUUUCUCGGAGGUCAUGAGAUACCAUAAUGUUCUUCCAAUAGGUUUGCUUUUUGCUUAACUCCAGCCAGAGUUGGUUCUUUGGUUUAUAACCAAAAGUACAGCUGAUACGGCCAGUCGGAAUGAAGUUAAAUGAAUGAAUAGUAAAAGUUGAUAAAAUGCAAACAAUUCCUUCUCAAAGGGUUUAUGAUAACUGAAGUCACAUACGAACAACUCUCUUCAGUUAGUGUUUUGGUGUAAUUUCACCGGCCCCCUGAUUCACGUGUGCCGCUCGCCACAGGCACUGUUUCUGUCAUCUCCGUGUUCAGCGUCCGUGCUCCACCUGCCUUCUGUUUUCUCGCCGCCAUGAAAUCGUAAGUGUCCCGAGGAGGAGCCGCAAGUGGUCUAUUCUGAGAGUAGCAGAAGGUGACCAGAGUAGUUAAGAGGACAACAGGACAGCCAGCUUUAUUGCACUGACCCUGUGACCUAUGCAGUUUCUUAAAUCCCCGGUAGGAAUUCUGUGACAUUUAAAAUGGUACAGAGAGGACACUCUUCAGUGGCUACCAUCGGUUAGUGAUUUUCCACUCGUCACAUUCCAUAAGGAUGUGUGGAAAUCCUACUGGAAAUAGAGAUCACAUUUCUUCACAAAAUCACAGUCGUAAUCUUAUAACUCAAAGAGACUGUGAUGGUCGAGGCUAAGCCUCCAUUUUGGAGCUAAGCCUGCUGAGGAAAACAGAGGCUGGAAGAUGUGCCUGAAGUCGCAGAGCCGGUGAGUCCUUGACUUCCAAACCAGUAAGCGUCUCAGCUCGCACGGCCAGCCUUCCUGAGCACUUGUGCGCUCUGUCGUGUCCCGGAUGCCUUUCAGCGGUGUCUCGCCUCUGAUACUUUCUCAGUUGACAUUUGGAACCUGCGAGGUCCUCGUGGGUUUCAUGCGUGAGGAAGGCCUUCACGAGGUCUCUAAGGGCAAUUGGAGAAGCGAAGACAGGAGGCAGGGCACCCUGGGCAGAGUCAGAGACUUGGGAGAGGGCGUAACAGCGCGGGGUGCUGUGGGACAGUGAGGUGACGGGCCUGGUUGGACUGAAGGGCAUUCAGGUGUAGCCGGAAGUAGAGAGACGAGCUCCUGUUCUUCCUCACGUCCGGCUCACAUGCAUCCUCAUCAGCGACACUGUCCCAGUCUCCUCAGAUGCAGUGAAAAAAGCUCCUUUUCUACGAUCACACUGUAUUUCAUUCCUGAGCGGAGCCAAGCGUCACAUUAUAUCGUGAGGACUGUGUACGCGUGUGGCCCGAGGGCCGGGGUCAUAUACUGGACACCUAUGUGCUGACAGUACCUUGUAUGGUACCUGUAUAAGGCAGGUGCUCUGUACACGGUUCUCACAGUUUCCAGUUGUUUUACACCCGGCCCACUUACUCACAUUUCCUGUAAGAUCUGUGUAGACAUUUGCAUUUUCAACUCCUACUUUAGAGAAUAAAAUCUAAAUUUUUUGUGUAGGCUCAUGGGCCCCUUCAUGAACUGACUUUUAGCCACUUUUAUGGCCUGCUUCCUCUAGAUUAAUUAAUUAGUUAAUCAGUUAACCAGCUAUUUACUGAGUACCUGUCACAUGUAGUGAAUCUCAAAGUCCCACCUUGUCAGUUGUUUGUCAUUCUGAGCUCUCCGUUUCUCUCUUGCUAGCAUUUGUUGUUGCUUUUGCCUGGAAUUUUCCUCCUUCUCCCAGCCUAUUUCUGGGGCUCGACUCUGGGUGACCUGCACUCCAAGAGCGUGUCUGACCCCCCGCCACCACGUCCUCGCAGCCCCCUGCAGGCUUCUGCGGUGGCCGGCCUGCCGUCGGAUAUGCUUAUUUCGGCAUGUCUGCCUUCCCGAUCACACCGCGUGGGUCUUGAGGUGGAGGCCACGUCUUUUUCUUCUUCUCCACUGGCCGUCGGACCCUCUGGCACACGAUGGAGUUAACCCACAUGGGUAAAGUGUGAAAAUGAGUGAUUAAAGUUUUCUUAUUGGAUCAGCAUGGUGGUUUAACACAAACACACACAUACACUUCUCAUGGAAUUUGGCUUCACAGAAACGUUCAGUGAAAGCUCAUUCUAUGGAACAAAUAAAGUGAAGCGUCGCUGGUUACAGAGAAGGAGUUCUUCAUUUCCUCAAUGAUUUGUAAACCGCUGGGCUAGAUAGACGAUUUCUAAGGUCUGCUUCGGAUCUAAUGUUUUCUGAGUUUUUAUCUCUUAAAACCUGAAGUGGGUAAUUAAACAAAUAUCUCAGCCCGGUUAGCAAUGGUAUGUAAAGGGCAUUAGUCAGAGCCAAAACAAAAUGAAAACAAACAAAAAAUCUAAAUCUGAAAUUAAGCAGACAAAUGAAUCCAGUAUUAUUGUACAUUUAAGUCUUAAUUAAGUUUCCAGUAUGCUCCAACACCUGCUAUAAACACGGAGAAAAAUCCUGUUUUCUGAGGUCCCAGUGCCAGGUUUCAACAUCCCAGUAUGUAAGAGAUCCUCCUCCCCGCUCCCCCCCACCCCCCAAAAAAAAGUUUACAGGGAGAAAAAUACAGCCCGGGAAGAAGUAGCAAGUCUCCGUUCUAUCAGUCCAGGGUGAGCUCGGUUCUCUCAGGGAGGGCUUAAAUCAUCUGGGCUACCUUUGGUCUUUUGUUUGGAUUACUUCUGACUUCUUUUCAUCUGUAAUAUGCAACAACAAUAGUCCUUUCUCAUAGGGUUGUUGUGAAAAGUAAAAAUGAUCACGCUCGUUAAGUGCUUAGUACAGACCUGACGAAAUGGACAAUAGCUAUUAUCUCGAGUCAAUGAAGUACUUCAACCACUUAAAAAGAUAGUAUGAAUAAUAAUGUAUAUGGAUAUUUGUCGAAUGAAUAGUAGUUCACUGUGAGCAGAGAACUGUCCUAUUGAUUUUAGGUGCAUUAAUUUGUUUAAGCCUCACAAUGCUCCCAUUAGACAGGUGCUGCUAUUGUAAUUUACUUUAUAGAUCGAGUCUCUGAGAGGCCGGUUAUUUUGUCCUUUUUAUAGGGAAAGUUAUUCUCUGAAGUUAUCUUGGUUGGCAAGGUCGGGACUCAAGCCCAGGUCUGUCUCAAGCCCAGUUGGGGUUUUCCAUUGUUACCGCCUUUACUCCAGUAAGUCCAAAUAAUAAAGCUUCGCCUUUCCCGAGAACUUAAAAUGCUGUAGGUACUUCCCAGUCAUUCAGCAAAUAUUCAUUAAUAUAUAUACUGGCUCAUUUAAUUGCUGUAAGAACCCUAAUGUCCCAACAACACAGUGUUACAUCUGUUUCCUUGUUUAUUCUUGUCGAAGAAAGAACUUCCAUCUGAAUAUUGGAAGCAAGAGUCUUGAGAAUCAUCCCGGCUGGGCUGUUUAAGCCACACGCCUAACAGUACACCAGUGACCUUGGCCCGGGCAGAGAACGUUUGCUGGCCGAAGUCACCCAAGGUCUGCCCCUGAGAGAGUCGGCGGCAUGGUGAGAGGUGACAACGAUGGCCUGUGCGAGUCCCAGAUGAGGAAGUCGAGUGUUCCAGUUCCCAUCGCUUCUUCCAGACUGCAUCAGAACCACCAUUUAUGCCGCUUCCGGAUCAGGAAGGCAGACGGGGCUGGCUCGUCUCCUCCACAGAGCUGCGGCCUCGGCCGGAGGACUUGAAGGCUGAGACUGUGGUCAUCUGAGGGCUCGUUUGCGCACAGGCCUGGUGCUCGAUGUGACGGACUCGUGAUAUCUUCACGGGGACCGGUUGGCACUGCCUAGGAGCGCGGGGGAUGGUUUCAGAGGUGAGUGUCGAGAACGAGAGCGAGCGAGCGAGCACGCGCAAGCAUUUUCGUGACUAGCCUCGGAAGUCAUGGCUGUGUUAAGCCACCUUCUAUUCACUGAGUGACAGCGUGACCAUGAGGAAUGCCCAAUUUCAAGAGGAGACGCUGACUUCUCUUUCUGACGGAAUGGCAAGGUUCUGGAGAGAAAUACUGACGUGACUGCUUUUGGAAGCUGCAGUUCACCGCACAGAGGCUUAGAGAGAUGAAACAGCUCUCCCAGCCGGACAGCUGGUAAGUGGAUUGACUUGCCUCUCAUUUUGUGUGUUUGAGCUUUGAGCUCAUCGCACUGUGCAAAGCGUCAUGGGAUCGGUAAAAUCUUGGAAGAACUAUUGCGACUAACUAAGCAAAGAAAGUUACGUGCACAACUUAAAUGCAGAGUUUCGAAUCUCACAGAAGGGCCUUGGGCUUCCCGAUUUGCAGAUCAGCGAGACAAUAAUGUGUCCCUUUUCCCAAAGCGUUCUAAUGUCACCUAUUCACUUUUUACUUUACUUUACAGGUGUUGUUUAUGCACCUGUAACUCACCACCUCUCCCAGCACAGACUGGUCACUUGUUUUAUUCAGGGCAGAAUCUUUGUCUAAUGUGAUUCAUCUUUCUACUCAGACGACACCUGUUACGAGAAGCUGGCUCACAGUAAACCCUCAAUAAAUGCUGGCCCAUGAGUAAAUACGAGUUUCUACUAGCACGGAAUAGCAGAAAAGCGUAACUGUGUCAUGUUGAACUGCUCCAGGACGCUUGGAUUCUGGGUAUUUUGAGGGCCAAGUCAUGUAAUUCAAGCAGAAGUGCUUUAAAAUGGUGAACGUCAGAGGUGCUUUGUGGUGGGCACGGCAGUGGUGGGCCGAGUCCUAGGGUGCCCGUGAACCUGUGAGGAAGGGGAUGCAGCCGUCUAACCUUGGCCUCUGACCUGUGGCGUAGACGGGUUUUCUAGGAAUAACGAUAAAUCACGGUCACAAGAUCAAAGUAAAUAUAACACGAAUGUAGGCAGGUCUCUUUCUCAGUAUGUGUCUGUCUGUCACCUUCCUUUCUUUCUUUCGUCUGUCAUCUAUAUCUAUUUGUAAUUUUAACAACUCGUAACUGAAAUCAUGUUGUUUUUUAAUAUUCUAUUUUGUUUUUACUUUUUAUAUCUUAGAGUGCUUUUCAUGGAAGUACACGCAGAUUUACCAGUUUUAUAUUGCCGUACAAUUUUGUUGUGUGGCAUUAUAUUGGAAUAAUUCAACGAUAAAUAUAUUGAAAUAAUUCCCUGUUCAUGGACAUUAGGUCGAUCCCAUAUUUUUCUGUUUUCUGUUUUCACGCGGUCGAUCCAGGGAAAUCGUAGCAUAGCAGGGUAAAGAAGGCUCGUGUUAAUAAAUGAAGGAUUUCGAAUUAAUGGCUGGUUCGCGGUUCCGACUCUGCCGCUAGCUGGUUGUGUGAUCUCGGGCAAGCGACUUGUCCUCUUCCAGCCUGCGUUUCCUCGUCCGUGAAACAGGCAGCGCCAGCAGCAGCCUUUCGCUGGUCGAAAAGAGCAAAUGGUGUGGCUAUAUGCAUCUUCUGAAGCUGCGCUUGCUUGACUCAGCGUCUCAGAGUCCUCGCCACUCCACGCUGCUUCAGGACCGAAGUACAGAUGCCACGUUGAGGCCCUGCGGCCCUUUGACCCAUCUCGCCAGCUUCAUCUACAAUUUUCUCCCGUCAGAAAUUUUCGCAAGAUGAAGCUGCCCGUUAUUCCCCGGUGGGCGGUGUGCCGCGGGGUGCCCGGGCUGCCUGUGUCCGUUCUUGCCCUGCCACCUCCUCGCUGCGUAGCUUGGGUAAACGAGUCAGGCUCUCUGUGCCUCACUAAAGAAGGAUGGCGAUGGUGCCUGCUUCAUAGGGUUAUUAGGAGGAGCGUAAGCGUUCAUAUAUGUAAAAGCACAGAAAAUCGUGCGUGACGUGGAAAGAAUUAAAUACAUGUCAGCAAAAGAUGGC
Molecule: long non-coding RNA, 6382 nt
Organism: Pteropus alecto (black flying fox)
Lineage: Eukaryota; Metazoa; Chordata; Mammalia; Chiroptera; Pteropodidae
Exons: 4
Source: RefSeq, a predicted model, not a curated record